This 253-nucleotide ribosomal RNA is filed under the name uncultured bacterium. RNAcentral's name for it is "partial 16S ribosomal RNA". It matches the Rfam family "Bacterial small subunit ribosomal RNA", at positions 524 to 776 of the family's 1533-position model. The record is from RNAcentral.
UACCGAGGGUGCAAGCGUUAAUCGGAAUUACUGGGCGUAAAGCGUGCGUAGACGGUUAUUUAAGUCAGGUGUGAAAGCCCCGGGCUCAACCUGGGAAUUGCAUUUGAGACUGAAUAGCUAGGGUGCGGAAGAGGGAAGCGGAAUUUCCGGUGUAGCGGUGAAAUGCGUAGAUAUCGGAAGGAACACCAGUGGCGAAAGCGACUUCCUGGUCCAGCACCGACGUUCAGGCACGAAAGCGUGGGGAGCAAACAGG